AUGUCUGUUUCUGUGUACCCUAGAGCUUAUCACCAAAAAUCUCAUUUCCAUCCAUCACCGUAUCAGCCUGUUUACCCACUUCGCCCACCCCCUGCCCCUCCCCUCUGGUCACCCCCACUCUGCUCUUUGGGUCUGUGUGUUUGUUUUUGUUUGGUUUGUUCACUUUUUUAUAUUCCACAUGUGAGUGACAUUGUAUUUGUCUUUCAUUUAUUUCUUAUAUGGGUUUCCUUUCUAUCACUUACUGCUUUACCCUUGGGGAACUUCUCUACAUCCUCAAAUAAAAGGAAUCCAGCAUUCUGUAAUGCUGACCAGACUUAUCAGCUUAAACCACGUGGAUUUAAAUCUCUGGCUGCCACGGGAGAAGCAAAGAGGUGAGACUGUGGCUGCGCUCAGAAUCUGUGACCGUCACACUGCUCGAAAUCCCCCAUCCCUAGGAGCCCGAGGAAAGUCACUCUUAACUUUUAUUUCAGUUGAGGAAGGUGAAUAAUGAUACCUUCUUUACGGAUUAUGUUGUGGCCUGAUUAAAUAUUUCAAAAGUAUUUCUGUGAUCCCCAGAUAAAAGACACUGAGUAAAGCCUGAAC
This 582-nucleotide long non-coding RNA is filed under the name Capra hircus (goat). Its description in RNAcentral is "lncRNA (ENSCHIG00000001367.1)". Lineage: Eukaryota; Metazoa; Chordata; Mammalia; Artiodactyla; Bovidae. The record is from RNAcentral.